This 268-nucleotide ribosomal RNA is filed under the name uncultured bacterium. RNAcentral's name for it is "partial 16S ribosomal RNA". It matches the Rfam family "Bacterial small subunit ribosomal RNA", at positions 223 to 476 of the family's 1533-position model. The record is from RNAcentral.
GGAGCGGCCGAUGGCAGAUUAGGUAGUUGGUGGGAUAAAAGCUUACCAAGCCGACGAUCUGUAGCUGGUCUGAGAGGACGACCAGCCACACUGGGACUGAGACACGGCCCAGACUCCUACGGGAGGCAGCAGUGGGGAAUUUUGGACAAUGGGCGAAAGCCUGAUCCAGCCAUGCCGCGUGCAGGAUGAAGGCCUUCGGGUUGUAAACUGCUUUUGUAGCGGAAGCGAAAAUGACCUUCUGGUUAAUACCCUGGGGUUCCAUGACGGU